UUGUGGUUAAAAAGCUCGUAGUUGGAUCUCAACAGCCUUGAAGCGGUUAACUUUGUAGUUUUACUGCUUUAUAGGCUGUGCUUUUGCUGGAGGUUUAGGGGUGCUCUUGAUCGAGUGUCUCUGGAUGCCAGCAGGUUUACUUUGAAAAAAUUAGAGUGCUCAAAGCAGGCUAAAAUGCCUGAAUAUUCGUGCAUGGAAUAAUAGAAUAGGAUGUCGAUCCUAUUCUGUUGGUUUUCGGGACUCGACAUAAUGAUAAAUAGGGACAGUCGGGGGCAUUUGUAUUCAAACGACAGAGGUGAAAUUCUUGGACCGUUUGAAGACAGACUACUGCGAAAGCAUUUGCCAAGAAUGUUUUCAUUAAUCAAGAACGAAAGUUAGAGGUUCGAAGGCGAUUAGAUACCGCCCUAGUUCUAACCAUAAACGAUGCCAGCUAGCGAUCUGCCUGCGUUUUUACUGUAGACUGGGCAGGAAGCUUCCGGGAAACCAAAGCAUUUGGGUUCCAGGGGAAGUAUGGUUGCAAAGCUGAAACUUAAAGGAAUUGACGGAAGGGCACCACCAGGAGUGGAGCCUGUGGCUUAAUUUGACUCAACACGGGAAAUCUCACCAGGCCCGGACACUGGAAG
This 623-nucleotide ribosomal RNA is filed under the name uncultured marine eukaryote. Its description in RNAcentral is "SSU rRNA". It matches the Rfam family "Eukaryotic small subunit ribosomal RNA", at positions 613 to 1237 of the family's 1831-position model. The record is from RNAcentral.